This 705-nucleotide ribosomal RNA is filed under the name uncultured Hyphomicrobiales bacterium. RNAcentral's name for it is "bacterial SSU rRNA". It matches the Rfam family "Bacterial small subunit ribosomal RNA", at positions 8 to 757 of the family's 1533-position model. The record is from RNAcentral. Lineage: Bacteria; Pseudomonadati; Pseudomonadota; Alphaproteobacteria; Hyphomicrobiales.
AGAGUUUGAUCCUGGCUCAGAGCGAACGCUGGCGGCAGGCCUAACACAUGCAAGUCGAGCGGGCACCGCAAGGUGUCAGCGGCAGACGGGAGAGUAACACGUGGGAACGUGCCCUUUGGUUCGGAACAACUCCGGGAAACUGGAGCUAAUACCGGAUAAGCCCUUACGGGGAAAGAUUUAUCGCCAAAGGAGCGGCCCGCGUCCGAUUAGCUAGUUGGUGAGGUAAUGGCUCACCAAGGCGACGAUCGGUAGCUGGUCUAAGAGGAUGAUCAGCCUCACUGGGACUGAGACACGGCCCAGACUCCUACGGGAGGCAGCAGUGGGGAAUAUUGGACAAUGGGCGCAAGCCUGAUCCAGCCAUGCCGCGUGGGUGAUGAAGGCCCUAGGGUUGUAAAGCCCUUUCGGCGGGGAAGAUAAUGACGGUACCCGCAGAAGAAGCCCCGGCUAACUUCGUGCCAGCAGCCGCGGUAAUACGAAGGGGGCUAGCGUUGCUCGGAAUUACUGGGCGUAAAGCGCACGUAGGCGGUCUUUUAAGUCGGGGGUGAAAUCCUGGAGCUCAACUCCAGAACUGCCUUCGAUACUGGAAGACUCGAGUCCGGGAGAGGUGAGUGGAACUGCGAGUGUAGAGGUGAAAUUCGUAGAUAUUCGCAAGAACACCAGUGGCGAAGGCGGCUCACUGGCCCGGUACUGACGCUGAGGUGCGAA